GAUGAACGCUGGCGGCGUGCCUAAUACAUGCAAGUCGAGCGAACGGACGAGAAGCUUGCUUUUCUGAUGUUAGCGGCGGACGGGUGAGUAACACGUGGAUAACCUACCUAUAAGACUGGGAUAACUUCGGGAAACCGGAGCUAAUACCGGAUAAUAUUUUGAACCGCAUGGUUCAAAAGUGAAAGACGGUCUUGUUGUCACUUAUAGAUGGUUCCGCGCUGCAUUAGCUAGUUGGUAAGGUAACGGCUUACCAAGGCAACGAUGCAUAGCCGACCUGAGAGGGUGAUCGGCCACACUGGAACUGAGACACGGUCCAGACUCCUACGGGAGGCAGCAGUAGGGAAUCUUCCGCAAUGGGCGAAAGCCUGACGGAGCAACGCCGCGUGAGUGAUGAAGGUCUUCGGAUCGUAAAACUCUGUUAUUAGGGAAGAACAUAUGUGUAAGUAACUGUGCACAUCUUGACGGUACCUAAUCAGAAAGCCACGGCUAACUACGUG
Molecule: ribosomal RNA, 497 nt
Filed under: uncultured bacterium
Lineage: Bacteria
Description: partial 16S ribosomal RNA
Rfam family: Bacterial small subunit ribosomal RNA
Source: RNAcentral